RNAcentral lists this transfer RNA (73 nucleotides) under Ophirina amphinema. RNAcentral's name for it is "tRNA-His". It matches the Rfam family "tRNA". Rfam says of the family: Transfer RNA (tRNA) molecules are approximately 80 nucleotides in length. Their secondary structure includes four short double-helical elements and three loops (D, anti-codon, and T loops). Further hydrogen bonds mediate the characteristic L-shaped molecular structure. tRNAs have two regions of fundamental functional importance: the anti-codon, which is responsible for specific mRNA codon recognition, and the 3' end, to which the tRNAs corresponding amino acid is attached (by aminoacyl-tRNA synthetases). tRNAs cope with the degeneracy of the genetic code in two manners: having more than one tRNA (with a specific anti-codon) for a particular amino acid; and 'wobble' base-pairing, i.e. permitting non-standard base-pairing at the 3rd anti-codon position. Lineage: Eukaryota; Jakobea; Jakobida; Ophirinidae. The record is from RNAcentral.
GCGAAUAUAACUUAGUUGGUAGAGUGCUGGUUUGUGGUUCCAGAAGUCAUGGGUUCAACUCCCAUUAUUCGCC